GAUGAACGCUAGCUACAGGCUUAACACAUGCAAGUCGAGGGGAAACGACAUCGAAAGCUUGCUUUUGAUGGGCGUCGACCGGCGCACGGGUUAUUAACUCGUAUCCAACCUGCCCAUCACUUGUGGAUAACCUUGCGAAAGUAAGACUAAUACCCAAUGAUAUCUCUAGAAGACAUCUGAAAGAGAUUAAAGAUUUAUCGGUGAUGGAUGGGGAUGCGUCUGAUUAGCUUGUUGGCGGGGUAACGGCCAACCAAGGCAACGAUCAGUAUGGGUUCUGAGAGGAAGGUACCCCACAUUGGAACUGAGACAAGGACAAAAGAACGAAGGGAGGGAGCAGAGAGGAAGAUUAGGCAAUGGGAGAGAGCCUGAAACAGCCAAGUAGAGUGAAGGAAGACGGCGCUAUGGGAUGUAAACUGCUUUUAUAAGGGAAAAAAGUGAGAGUCGUGACUCUUUUUGAAUGUACCUUAUGAAUAAGGACCGGCUAAUUCCGUG
Molecule: ribosomal RNA, 492 nt
Filed under: uncultured bacterium
Lineage: Bacteria
Description: partial 16S ribosomal RNA
Rfam family: Bacterial small subunit ribosomal RNA
Source: RNAcentral